Molecule: small nucleolar RNA, 138 nt
Organism: Tachyglossus aculeatus (Australian echidna)
Lineage: Eukaryota; Metazoa; Chordata; Mammalia; Monotremata; Tachyglossidae
Source: RefSeq, a predicted model, not a curated record
CCCCUCUCAGAGUUGCAGCUGGAGAGUUUCCAAUACUCUACCAGUCUCGACUACAGGAGGGAGAGUGAAGCAGAGGCCUGUCCAUUCCAUUCCUAGCUUGGGCAGUGGCUAGAGAGUGGCAGGCCAUCUGCUACAAAA